GCCAUGAACGAAAGUUUGACUAAGUUAUAUUAAUUAGAGUUGGUAAAUCUCGUGCCAGCCACCGCGGUCAUACGAUUAACCCAAAUUAAUAGAUCCACGGCGUAAAGAGUGUUUAAGAAAAAAAAUCACAAUAGAGUUAAAUUAUAACUAAGCUGUAAAAAGCCCUAGUUAAAAUAAAAUAACCCACGAAAGUGACUCUAAUAAUCCUGACACACGAUAGCUAGGACCCAAACUGGGAUUAGAUACCCCACUAUGCCUAGCCCUAAACCCAAAUAGUUACAUAACAAAACUAUUCGCCAGAGUACUACUCGCAACUGCCUAAAACUCAAAGGACUUGGCGGUGCUUCACAUCCACCUAGAGGAGCCUGUUCUAUAAUCGAUAAACCCCGAUAGACCUUACCAACCCUUGCCAAUUCAGCCUAUAUACCGCCAUCUUCAGCAAACCCUAAAAAGGAACAAUAGUAAGCACAAUCAUAGCACAUAAAAACGUUAGGUCAAGGUGUAGCUUAUGGGUUGGAAAGAAAUGGGCUACAUUUUCUACAUGAGUAUAUCCACCACACGAAAGUUUUUAUGAAACUAAAAACCCAAGGAGGAUUUAGCAGUAAAUCGAGAAUAGAGUGCUUGAUUGAAUAAGGCCAUGAAGCACGCACACACCGCCCGUCACCCUCCUCAAGCAUGUAGUAAUAAAAAUAACCAUAUUCAAUUACACAACCAUGCAAGAAGAGACAAGUCGU
This 734-nucleotide ribosomal RNA is filed under the name Sus scrofa (pig). RNAcentral describes it as "partial small subunit ribosomal RNA". It matches the Rfam family "Bacterial small subunit ribosomal RNA", at positions 456 to 1489 of the family's 1533-position model. Lineage: Eukaryota; Metazoa; Chordata; Mammalia; Artiodactyla; Suidae. The record is from RNAcentral.